This 467-nucleotide ribosomal RNA is filed under the name uncultured bacterium. Its description in RNAcentral is "partial 16S ribosomal RNA". It matches the Rfam family "Bacterial small subunit ribosomal RNA", at positions 29 to 507 of the family's 1533-position model. The record is from RNAcentral.
ACGAACGCUGGCGGCGUGCUUCACACAUGCAAGUCGCACGGAAAGGCCCUGCUUUUGUGGGGUGCUCGAGUGGCGAACGGGUGAGUAACACGUGAGUAACCUGCCCUUGACUUUGGGAUAACUUCAGGAAACUGGGGCUAAUACCGGAUAGGAGCUCCUGCUGCAUGGUGGGGGUUGGAAAGUUUGGGCGGUUGGGGAUGGACUCGCGGCUUAUCAGCUUGUUGGUGGGGUAGUGGCUUACCAAGGCUUUGACGGGUAGCCGGCCUGAGAGGGUGACCGGCCACAUUGGGACUGAGAUACGGCCCAGACUCCUACGGGAGGCAGCAGUGGGGAAUAUUGCACAAUGGGCGGAAGCCUGAUGCAGCAACGCCGCGUGCGGGAUGACGGCCUUCGGGUUGUAAACCGCUUUCGCCUGUGACGAAGCGUGAGUGACGGUAAUGGGUAAAGAAGCACCGGCUAACUACGUG